AUUGAAUCAAAUGCCCAAAUAACUCCCAUUUCUCCCAAAUCGUGGAAGGCUGGAAGAAAAACCUUUUCCAAUUUCUUCAAUUCUUCCUUCGCCACACGCCCCUGCCUGCACGAUGCUGCACACAAGUGACGAGACACGACGGUGUAGAAGACCGCCGGUUUCACCCCUGCCCUGCAAGUUGCAGUGUGAGACACUUCUUCCUUUGCCACCGCGGGUUCACCCCUGAUUUCUAAUUGUUUUUCUAACAUGACUUUUGACUUCAUUCUGAAAAUCUUUCAUCUUUUUGAGUUUUGGAGUAAAGAUAGAUAUAUUGGUGUGUUGUCUAUUGAUAUACUAAUUAAUUAUCCAAUAAGCCAUAAAAUAUUGUAUUAUUAAUAAAUAGGGUGGAUUAAAAUUUAAAAGUACAAAAUUUAAUUAAAAACAAGAUUACUGCAAUUCGAAUUAUCUUCAUAAUUUACUUCUAUUAAUUAUUAUAUUCCUCAAAUAUUGGACUGAGGGUGAGGGAUAUAAUUAAAUAAUUGAACAGUGCCAUAUAUUAUGUGAGUGCUAAAUGAAAAUUUUCACAGGCUAUGAAUCAUAUGAUUGCCUAUUUGUAUGUGCUAACUACUAAAUUGGCAAAUUUAAUUUUAUUAUAUUGUAAUUUGUAGGUGCUUACUGCUCAACACCAUGUUUAACAGUUUAAGGGUAUCAAUUUGGCAUGAAAUUGGAGCAGAAUCAUAGAAUUCUUUGUCCACUUGGCAAGCAAGUUCUCUGGUUCACUGGUUGGAGACUUGGAGCCAAUAUUAAUGCCAAAGGAUUCCUUCCUCAGGUCAGUAACUUAAGUUGAUCAGUUGAUGUUAAAUAUGUUGUGAUUUAUUCAUUUGGGAAUUAAAAAAUUGCGAAUUGUGAUUUAUGAUUAUUGAUUUGAGAAUUUAUGUUUACGAAAUUAUAUUUGCAUUCGUGAUUUAUGAUAAGUAAUUUAUGUUUUGAUAAUGAAUGAUUAUUGAUUUGGGAAUUUAUGUUUACGGAUUUAUGUUGUGAAUUGUGAUUUAUGAUAAGUAAUUUAUGUUUUGUGAGUUAUGAUUAUUGAUUUGAGAAUUUAAGUUUAGGAAAUUAGUCAAGGUGAAAAAAUUUAAUUGAGAAGAUGUUGGCUGCUCAAUUCAACCCCUGUGUACUUGGUUUUUCUUUUAAUCAAUUGUAAUUGAUCGUAAUAUCGGACUAUUACGAUCGUCGACGGUCGGUCAAUGGUUAAUCGUCAACCCGCCCUAGCUGGACUUGGAUCUUGGAUUCGUUGCUGCUUAACAAGCCCCCCUCAAGAUAGUGGCUCAUUUGAACAGACCAAUCUUGAAAUCAAGAGAACAAAGAAGAGGGAUAAACCUGAUGCAGACCUUGCAAAUGUGGCAUAUGAACUUUCCUCGAAGGGAAGAAACACCAGCCUAACCACUAAGCUCUCUGAAACAUUGACCUGAUUUAAUUUAGCAUACUCAGUAAAUUUUUAAGUUUCAAACUGAAAAUCGAAUUACAUGCUAGAGCAGUUGAACUGACACAGCUCCAGAUAAUUGCAUCUUUCUCAUGGAAACACGCUAUCUUGUGAAGCAAUGUAUUAACUAUUAGCAAAGAGUAUAUUAUUGAAAGAC
This 1616-nucleotide long non-coding RNA is filed under the name Olea europaea subsp. europaea. Lineage: Eukaryota; Viridiplantae; Streptophyta; Magnoliopsida; Lamiales; Oleaceae. The record is from RNAcentral.